Molecule: ribosomal RNA, 296 nt
Filed under: uncultured bacterium
Lineage: Bacteria
Description: partial 16S ribosomal RNA
Rfam family: Bacterial small subunit ribosomal RNA
Source: RNAcentral
CCUACGGGGCGCAGCAGUAGGGAAUCUUUCACAAUGGGCGAAAGCCUGAUGGAGCAACGCCGCGUGCAGGAUGAAGGCCUUCGGGUUGUAAACUGCUUUUAUAAGCGAGAAAUAUGAUGGUAACUUAUGAAUAAGGAUCGGCUAACUACGUGCCAGCAGCCGCGGUAAUACGUAGGGAGCAAGCGUUAUCCGGAUUUACUGGGUGUAAAGGGCGUGUAGGCGGGCAUGCAAGCCAGAAGUGAAAUCUGGGGGCUUAACCCCCAAACUGCUUUUGGAACUGCGUGUCUUGAGUGAUG